This is a long non-coding RNA of Sinocyclocheilus rhinocerous, 321 nucleotides long. RefSeq lists it as uncharacterized. The transcript is spliced from 3 exons. NCBI's taxonomy places the organism in Eukaryota, Metazoa, Chordata, Actinopteri, Cypriniformes, Cyprinidae. The record is from RefSeq and is a predicted model, not a curated record.
CAGUGUAUGAUCAAUUAAAGGAACACAAGCAGCGGAUAAGAAUGAGAUCUUGUUUUCGGAGUUCAAUAUCAAUUACAAUAAUGAAUCCCCACUGCACAAAAAAGGCAUGACUUUAAUAUGGGAAAAGGUGAAUGAAACCACAACUAAACUGACCAAGCGGCCAGAUAAAGGAGAGACAGAAAUUAAUGUAACACGGACAAGAAAGAAGGUCACAAGUCAUUCCUGUGAUAUCAUUGGAGAUCAGUUCUGGGAAGAACAUCCAGACAUUCUGGAAAGUGAACAGUGUUGAUCACAUGGUUAAAAGACUGUACCAGACCAAAU